This 877-nucleotide long non-coding RNA is filed under the name Lepisosteus oculatus (spotted gar). RNAcentral describes it as "lncRNA (ENSLOCG00000022585.1)". Lineage: Eukaryota; Metazoa; Chordata; Actinopteri; Semionotiformes; Lepisosteidae. The record is from RNAcentral.
GGAAAGGAACUUGCCAGCCAAGUCUAACCAGCAGUGCAAACAGGUCUUUGAGCUGAUCUGGUUCUGGAGCUUCCACCACAGUUUUUUCCUGAUGGGCCUUUGGCAGUUUCUCACACAUGGCAUAUGUAGUCAGACCCCAGAUUGAAGACUCCAUCAGAGGCAUUCAGCAGCUUCCAAGCCACACAGAUGCAGCAAGCAUCAAGCUUUGUUUUGAAAUACCCAUCACCUUUGGAGUUCAUUCAAGCCAACCCCAUAUACUCACAGGACUACACAAGACACAUGAGCCAUGACAUCCAUAUGAUUUGUGUCUGGAACCCUGAUUCAAGCCAUGGGCACUCCUUUUAUUUCUUAUGAUUUUGUCGCUGUUAAGAAUAUUUUGUUAAUUGAUUUGUACCACAUUUACUCAUGGAUUGAGUUGACAAUAAACUCAUAAGUUUUUGGAUGUGUAAGAGGAAAUACAUUUCAGCUGCAUUCAGUUAUUAUUUCUUUAUUGGUCAGAGUUUGUAAAUAAAUGUUAGAGAAUUGUCCUUCCAUGGAAAUAAUGUUUUUCUGUUUGAUAACAGUUCUAUAUUUAAAUAUACAGUAAUGUGUAUUUACUGUACAGUAGAUGUUGUAAACAGGCUGCCAGUAACUUGGAAAGAUGAAGAGAUUGCAUUAGACUUUAAUAAUGUUUUUUAAUUUAAACUAAUUUCAAGAAGAGGCCACAUCUUCAUUUGAUUAUCUUUAAUUGAAUUGCUUAACUUUGCUUUCAGUGAUUAAAAGAUAAAAAUGGAACAUGAUCAUUUAUGCUCAGCAUGGCAUGUAACCAAGUCCUGUAAUGCAGAAUCAUAAAUUGUACUGACAUGAAUAAUAAAAAAUAAAUGCACUAGACGUCUCC